This 443-nucleotide ribosomal RNA is filed under the name uncultured bacterium. RNAcentral describes it as "partial 16S ribosomal RNA". It matches the Rfam family "Bacterial small subunit ribosomal RNA", at positions 338 to 795 of the family's 1533-position model. The record is from RNAcentral.
CCUACGGGGGGCUGCAGUGGGGAAUAUUGGGCAAUGGGCGCAAGCCUGACCCAGCAACGCCGCGUGAAGGAAGAAGGCUUUCGGGUUGUAAACUUCUUUUCUCAGGGACGAAGCAAGUGACGGUACCUGAGGAAUAAGCCACGGCUAACUACGUGCCAGCAGCCGCGGUAAUCCGUAGGUGGCAAGCGUUAUACGGAUUUACUGGGUGUAAAGGGCGUGUAGGCGGGAAAGCAAGUCAGAUGUGAAAACCAUGGGCUCAACCUGUGGCCUGCAUUUGAAACUGUCUUGCUUGAGUACUGGAGAGGCAGACGGAAUUCCUAGUGUAGCGGUGAAAUGCUUAGAUAUUAGGAAGAACCCCAGUGGCGAAGGCAGUCUGCUGGACAGCAACUGACGCUGAGGCGCGAAAGCGUGGGGAGCAAACAGGAUUAGAUACCCGUGUAGUC